GUACCUUUAGCUCAGUUGGUCAGAGCAGUCGGCUCAUAACCGUCGUAGGUUCGAGUCCUACAGGGUACA
RNAcentral lists this transfer RNA (69 nucleotides) under Enterococcus mundtii. RNAcentral describes it as "tRNA-Met". It matches the Rfam family "tRNA". From Rfam's summary of the family: Transfer RNA (tRNA) molecules are approximately 80 nucleotides in length. Their secondary structure includes four short double-helical elements and three loops (D, anti-codon, and T loops). The record is from RNAcentral. Lineage: Bacteria; Bacillati; Bacillota; Bacilli; Lactobacillales; Enterococcaceae.